Molecule: ribosomal RNA, 562 nt
Filed under: uncultured bacterium
Lineage: Bacteria
Description: partial 16S ribosomal RNA
Rfam family: Bacterial small subunit ribosomal RNA
Source: RNAcentral
UGGGGAAUAUUGCACAAUGGGCGAAAGCCUGAUGCAGCAACGCCGCGUGAGUGAUGAAGGCCUUCGGGUUGUAAAGCUCUGUCUUUUGGGACGAUAAUGACGGUACCAAAGGAGGAAGCCACGGCUAACUACGUGCCAGCAGCCGCGGUAAUACGUAGGUGGCAAGCGUUGUCCGGAUUUACUGGGCGUAAAGGAUGCGUAGGCGGAUUUUUAAGUGAGAUGUGAAAACCCUAAGCUUAACUUGGGGACUGCAUUUCAUACUGGAAAUCUAGAGUGCGGGAGAGGAGAAUGGAAUUCCUAGUGUAGCGGUGAAAUGCGUAGAGAUUAGGAAGAACACCAGUGGCGAAGGCGAUUCUCUGGACCGUAACUGACGCUGAGGCAUGAAAGCGUGGGUAGCAAACAGGAUUAGAUACCCUGGUAGUCCACGCCGUAAACGAUGAGUACUAGGUGUAGGAGGUAUCGACCCCUUCUGUGCCGCAGUUAACACAAUAAGUACUCCGCCUGGGAAGUACGAUCGCAAGAUUAAAAACUCAAAUGAAUUGACGGGGUCAUAGCUGUUUCC